GGCAGAGGGAGCCCGGCCUCCGUGUCCCGGCACCAGACGGCAAGGGACACGAGGAAAGUCCCCCCACCGUCCGGGCAGGUGACCGGGUGCAAACCCGGAGCGGGAGACCGCUGGCGCUGGAACAGAAACGAGACCACUCCGCUCGACUGAUGACGUGCGCGAACCCGGAGCGACCGGCCUCGCCGGGAAGCGACGGGGAGCUAACCCACAGAGGGUAGCGCGGUGACGCAGUCACCGCGGGACGGCGAACGGGCACGAGCCCGUGAGCCCGCGUGGCGCGAAGCGCAACGCAGACGGCGUCCGAGCGUCCAUCAGGACUCUCGGGCCCGUCGGGCGCGUAGCGUCCGACGGUGGAGUACGGAUGGAACGGCGAAUCCUCACCGGUGCAAGUCCGCGCGGCAAGGUAGCCCGGGCGCGAGCGCGGACGCUCAGCCGAAUGCCGGGCCGAACAGAAGGGGGCUUACUCCCCUCAGCC
This 475-nucleotide RNase P RNA is filed under the name Halobacteriales archaeon QH_8_67_27. RNAcentral describes it as "RNase P RNA component". It matches the Rfam family "Archaeal RNase P". Rfam says of the family: Ribonuclease P (RNase P) is a ubiquitous endoribonuclease, found in archaea, bacteria and eukarya as well as chloroplasts and mitochondria. The record is from RNAcentral. Lineage: Archaea; Methanobacteriati; Methanobacteriota; Halobacteria; Halobacteriales.